This 711-nucleotide ribosomal RNA is filed under the name Triticum aestivum (bread wheat). RNAcentral describes it as "partial small subunit ribosomal RNA". The record is from RNAcentral. Lineage: Eukaryota; Viridiplantae; Streptophyta; Magnoliopsida; Poales; Poaceae.
AUGAAAAUCAGUGGUUGGAAGGAAAAGCUGCUAUCAGCAGGAGGAAAGGAAAUCCUUCUCAAAUUGGUUGUACAAGCUAUCCCAACUUAUGCAAUGUCCGUCUUUAAAAUUCCUAAAAAAAUAUGCAAAGGAAUCAUUGACGCGAUGUCGCAUUUUUGGUGGGGUGAUGAAGACAAUCAGAAGAGAAUGCAUUGGAUGGCAUGGUGGAAGAUGUGUGUACCAAAAGACCAAGGAGGAAGGGGUUUCCGAGACAUACAUUGUUUUAAUUUGGCAUUGUUAGCCAAACAAGCGUGGCGCCUACUUGAUAAUCCCGAUUCUCUACGUGCCACCAUUUUGAGAGCUAAAUAUUUUCCGGAUGGAGAUUUAAUGAAUGCGAAUCUUAAAAAAGGAUCUUCGUUCACUUGGCAAAGCAUAAUGGCGGGAGUGGAUUCUCUAAAAAAUGGUUAUAUUUGGAGAGUUGGAAAUGGACAAAAUAUAUAUAUUUGGGGAGAUGCAUGGAUCUCGAAUGGGGCCAAUAGGAAAAUUAUCACUCCUAGAAGAGGGCAGCUUCUAACAAAAGUUGCUGAUCUUAUAGAUCCAAUCAACAGUUGUUGGGAUGAAGAUUUGGUAAGACAAACGCUGUGGCCAAUUGAUGUCCAGAGGGUGCUUGCGAUCCCCCUCCCCACGUAUAACAUGUCGGAUUUCAUAGCUUGGAGUUUUACAAAGAAUGGA